RNAcentral lists this unclassified non-coding RNA (645 nucleotides) under uncultured Prochlorococcus sp. RNAcentral's name for it is "partial 16S-23S ribosomal RNA intergenic spacer; may also contain 16S ribosomal RNA and 23S ribosomal RNA". The stretch from base 305 to 377 matches the Rfam family "tRNA". Lineage: Bacteria; Bacillati; Cyanobacteriota; Cyanophyceae; Synechococcales; Prochlorococcaceae. The record is from RNAcentral.
UUGUGGAGGAGGACGCCGAAGGUGGGGCUAAUGACUGGGGUGAAGUCGUAACAAGGUAGCCGUACCGGAAGGUGCGGCUGGAUCACCUCCUAACAGGGAGACAACAAAAUGUUUAAUAUUAUUAUUUUGUCACCUUAGGUCGAUCGGUACCUCACGUUCUUAAUUUAUUAAGAAUUUCAUUUCCUAAGUUUUUCUAGGUCACACCCAUUAUUUUUCCUGGGCCAUUAGCUCAGGUGGUUAGAGCGCACCCCUGAUAAGGGUGAGGUCCCUGGUUCAAGUCCAGGAUGGCCCAUAUCUCUAUGUUGGGGGUAUAGCUCAGUUGGUAGAGCGCCUGCUUUGCAAGCAGGAUGUCAGCGGUUCGAGUCCGCUUACCUCCACUGAUUACCACCUCUUCCAUAAUUUGGAGAAAGGAAAUGUUUUGAGUCGUGAUCAAAUUCUGAACGAAUCUAGCUUCCUAAUGAAAUCAUUAAGAUGCUGGACUCAUUGAAUUAAUUUCAUUGUUUUCAGAGAACCUUGACAACUGCAUAGAUUAUUUUUAAAGACAAUAAGCAUCUUUAAUGAUGCAGAUUUAUUAUUUGUGCGAAUGCAUUAAUAACAAUUCUAUUAAGCUGAUGCUUCAAUUUUGAAGUUAUGGUCAAGCUACAA